ACUUGCAUAUUUAUUUAGUUGAGUUUAAUAUAAGUUUAUAUAUGAUGUGUUUGUAUUAUUUUAGAAUUUACUGUUUUAGACAUGUGGCAUGUGGUAUCCCACUACACUUGGUAUAAGCUGUCAUACUACACGUGGCAUGUGGUAUCCCACU
This is a non-coding RNA of Hydra vulgaris (swiftwater hydra), 151 nucleotides long. The record is from RefSeq and is a predicted model, not a curated record. Lineage: Eukaryota; Metazoa; Cnidaria; Hydrozoa; Anthoathecata; Hydridae.